UUCUUACUGAAUAAUAAUUGUAAGUAUCGUCUGCUCAAUGAAUUUUUCAAUAGCCGCGGAAAUUUUACCGUGCUAAGGUAGCAUAAUCAUUAGCCCCUUAAUUAGGGGCUCGUAUGAAUGGCGGAACAUUUCAAUUUCUUUAUUUAUUAAAAAUAUCUAAAUUAAAUUAAGAAUAAAAAUGUUCUUAUUAAUUAAAUAGACGACAAGACCCUUUUGAACUUUACUUUUGUUUAGCUGGGGCAGCUAAAAAAAAUUUUUCUUCUUUAUAAUAAUUAUAUAAAUGACCCAAUAAAAUUGAUUAUAUGAACAAGUUACCAUAGGGAUAACAGCGUAAUAUCUUUUUAAAGCUCUUAUUAAAAAAGAUGAUUGCGACCUCGAUGUUGAAUUAGUAUAGCUUAUUAGAUGCAGUAAUUUUUAAAAGUAGGUCUGUUCGACCAUUAAAAUACUACAU
Molecule: ribosomal RNA, 451 nt
Filed under: Metepeira sp. TAB-2009
Lineage: Eukaryota; Metazoa; Arthropoda; Arachnida; Araneae; Araneidae
Description: partial 16S ribosomal RNA gene
Rfam family: Bacterial large subunit ribosomal RNA
Source: RNAcentral